RNAcentral lists this long non-coding RNA (17035 nucleotides) under Gossypium barbadense (sea-island cotton). RNAcentral describes it as "long non-coding RNA (GBAR_LNC009952)". Lineage: Eukaryota; Viridiplantae; Streptophyta; Magnoliopsida; Malvales; Malvaceae. The record is from RNAcentral.
CCAGUUACAUAUCUAUGUUAAAUUUGAAAAUUUAAAUAAUUAUUGAUGUGACAUCCACAUUGCAAUUCACGUGUAUGCUAGAUCAACAAAAUUAUAAAUGUUAAGUUUUUUUUUAUCCAUUUUUAGUGAUUUGAUAAACAAUACAAAUUCAAUUGCUAAAAGAGACAAAAAAAAUUAAAUAGAAGGUGUAGACCCAAUUUUUAGCCCGGGCCCAUAUAUAUUCAAAGAUAAAACAUAAAACGGCCCAAAAUACAAGUCAAAUUACAAAUGGCCCAACACUAAUAGGCCCAAUUUCGGAAAACCUAGGGUUUUCAUAUGUUUCGCGCCGCAGCAGUGGCCACCAGCAGCCUCCACGCACUAUGCACGAUCAUCGACUCGCGCAUGGCUCGCCCCAUAUCUGUGCGCUUUGCUCCCAUGUCUCCAUGACCUACAAUAUGAGCAAAAAUAGCUAGAAACCGCUUGUAUUUUGGACUAUAAAGCCUCUAAAUUUUGAUUGUAAAAUGAUGGUUUUUUUUCCUCUCGGAGAAAGAGAAUACGAAUUGUAUACAAAAUACACACAAAAAUCAGUAGAAAGUAACCAAAGAGUAUUUUCAAAGGUAAUUAUUUAAUGCAGUUUUUUUUUGUUUCUUCUUUUUCCAUUUUUUUUCAUUUCCAUUCGGAUCCGCAUACGAAAAUAUAAAAAGAAAGAGGAGGGGAACUCACCGUCGCGGCACAAGAGGAACCUCUGAAGUCGAAGUUUGGCUCAAAAUGGUGGUGGAGCCGUUUCUCUUUAGUCUGUUGAAGAAGAGAAAAAAAGAGGGGAAAGUGAAGGAGAAGAGUUUCAAAACUUAAGGGUUUUUUUAAGGAAAAAGUUAAAAUGUUCUCUUUAAAGCAAAAAUAAUAAUUUUUAAAGUAGGUUUUAAUUUUAAGAAAUAAAAUAAAACAGUAUUGGGAAGGGUAGAGUCAGUAUGUGACUUGGUCCACGCGUAUUUACCUUUUAGAUGGAGGAUUUGCGAUUUUAGUCCGCCUCCUUUGUGUCCACUUCUAAAUUGGCCCAAUUCACAUUUUAUUGUCUUUUAAAAUUUUCACUAAAAUUUGCAUACUGUUCCAAUUUGGCCCGUGCCUGGGUACUACGUUUAGGAGUUUGGAUCUUUUGCGUUUUUGGACCCUGUGCAUUCACGCGCCUUGCACUUUGAUCCCUAUUUUAAUUUCCAUGGUUUGUUGUAUUUAUAAAGUAUCCCUUUUGUUUUUAAUUUUUUUUAUAUUUUUUUUGCAUAAUUCAUUUUUUCAUUCACUUAGUUUUUUAUAUAUUCGUAUAUACAUUUUAAAUCGCUUUGACAGUUUUACCUUUUUAAAAAAACAUUAUUUUAGCGUUUUUUAUAUAUCUUAUUUUGUAUGUUAUUACAUUUAAAUAUUCUUAUAUAUACGUUAUUAUGCACAUAAUUUAUGAUAAAAUUAGCUCUAUUCUAUGUACACUAUUGUUUUCAUAUUAUCUUAUGUAAAUAUUUUCUUUUAAAUUUUAUAUAUAUAUAUAUAUUUUUUUUUAAUUUAUUUAUGUAUAAUUUGGUUCUUUUUAAAGGGUUAUUGUAUAUUUUAUUUAUUUUAGUAUCUUGGUAUAUAUUAUUUACACUUUUUUUCCCAUUUUCAUAUAUACAUCAUUAGUUAAAUUAACUUGUCUAUGUUUUAUAUAUUUUUUUAAUAAUUAUUCAUAUAUUGUCAGUUUUUAUAUGCAUAUAAGUUAUUUCGAAUUUUUGCUUGUGUAUUUCUUUGCAUAUAUUUAAUAGUAUUUAAAUUGUUUAUAUCAUUGACUACUAGUUCUUGUGUUGUCUUGCAUAUCACGUGUCGUCAUUGGCUUUCAUAUCGUUUUCACAUAUUAUUGUUCAUAUAUGUAAUUAUGUUUUUUUUUUAUUUCUUGUAAUUGCAUUAUGGUUUCAAUUCCCAUGUUUACUCAAUAUCGAUUGUUUUUAUCCUCAAGCAAACAAGGAUUUUUAAUUCGUUUUUGUAACUAUCAAUUUAAAAAAAAACUUCUAAAACAAAGGCAAUGUUUGGCGUUUGGAAAUUUAGAAAAUCGUGCCUUAACAUGCUGGGCUUCGAUUUUCUGCUUGCCCAAAAUAGUCAAAUAUUCCUUUAAAAUUUCAUUCAUGUUUUCUAAAUUUUAAAAUAAGGCAAUGUUCUAUGUUUGGAAAUUCGAGAAAUCAUGCCCUAACGUGCUGGGUUUCGUUUUUUUCGUUGGUCCAAAUAAUUGAAUACCCUUUUUGUUGCAUUUUGGAAAUCAUGAAGUGAUCUCAAUUUUUUGGAGGCUUAAAAUAUCGUGUCCUAACGUGCUGGAUGUGGUAUUUUAUUUCUUUGAAACGAGUGAAUCUUAAAAUCCAAUUUGAGUUGUGCACACACUUUUAAGGGGAUCAUAUUUCAAUGGUUUUUUUUAAAAUUUUCAACAUUAGACAUAAAUUAAUUAAUUAGGUACCAAUUUUGGGCGUUACGAGGGUGCUAAUCCUUCCUCGUACGUAACCGACUCCCGAACCCAUUUCUUGAUUUUUCGUGGGCCAAAAUCCAUAUUUUAAUAAAAUGAUUUAUUAGGUGAUCCGAUCACACCUAAACCAAAAAAGGAUCGGUGGCGACUCCAUACCUCGCUUUAAAGUCGAUCCCUUUUUUUUCAAACUUUUAAAAAUGAUUUCGACAGCUUGGCGACUCCAUUAGGGACCAAUAAGAGAGUCAAGCCGUAAAAUUGAUUAUUUUCUGUCCUUUUGUCGAAAAUUUAAAAUUUAGAUUUUAACAUAUGAUCCUUUUAUUGCAUUUUAUGGGUUUUAUGGUUUUUGUCAUUUUAUUCGUGUUUUGCAUUUUGAGUUUUUUAUAUCCCUUCACAUCAUCUUACAUGACCGUUGUGGUCGCACCUUUUUAAGUGGGAGUGAUGAACUACGCCUUCGUGAGGUUUUCACAUCCGCAUGGGCUAGUGGACUGCUUCCGGGAUAUAUCCGUACCUAUGUCUUCGUGAGGUUUUCACCUCCGCAUGGAUAUAGGGAAAUGUAUUCCUCUGAACUAAACUCGAUCCGCGUGAACCUAUAAUGGGUGAGAGUUGAGGAAUCUGCUGGUUCAGAUACCAUUUUCGUAGAACCGAACGGCAUAUAGUGAACUCUAGGAGCCCGCCCUAGGUAGAGCUAUGUUGAACUCUAGUGAUUACCCAGUUAGGUGUUUAAUUGUUUUCUAUUUGCUUAAAUUUUUAUUUUUUGAAUACUAACUUGUUGUGUUUUGUUGUGAUUAUGUUUUGCAUGUCAUUUCAUAUUAAAAAGGUGUCGAUUUCUGUUCAGUUGCUAAAUUAGAAAGCUUGUUAUAGAGAGCGAAUUCCUUGAUAAAGUAGAGGAUAAUGCGACUGUCCGUAUCUGGUCAGAGAAGAUGCAACUUGAGAAAGGGGAUAGCCUAGCUGAGGGGUAUGCAUCGGGGUUUUCGGGCUUCACUCACAUCAAUAUAACCUAAAAUAAACUCUAAGAGUUGAGGGAUAUAUGGGCUUGUCAGGAUGAUGAGACCAAGCAGCUAUUCUAUCAAAGUUAUGGUGACUUACCCUACCUGCUCGAUAUCAAGGUGGACAAGUACUUGUUUCGGGCUAUGGCUCAGUUUUGGAACCCGGCAUAUAGUUGUUUCACCUUCGGGAAGGUAGACUUGGUGCCUACUGUGGAGGAGUAUACAGCUUUGCUUCGUUGUCCAAAGGUUCAAGUCAACAAAGUUUAUUCCAAGGCUGCUAGUGCCCUAGCUUUUGUAAAGAAGUUAACGGGUAUCACUGGGAUGAGUGAACAAUGGGUUACAGCUCGAAUUCAGUAAAAAGGUGAAGGUAGGUGUAUUCCUUGGGUAAGUUUGAGGGACCUGAUCGUAGCACAUCCAGAUACAAAGAGGAAAGUUGACGUCUUCGCCUUGAGUAUUUAUGGUUUGGUGAUUUUCCCUAAGGCUUUAAGGCAUAUAGAUGAAGCAGUUACCGAUUUCUUUGAUCGACUUGACAAAGGGGUCACACCGGUGCCGGUAAUUCUUGCUGAGACAUUCAAAUCCUUGAGUGCAUAUCGGAGGGCAAGUAAAGGUAGAUUUAUAGGGUGUGAGCAGUUAUUGUUGGCUUGGUUCUACAGCCAUUUCUAGAAGGUGGAUAAGGUUUCCUAUCGGGUUUUUUCUGAGAGUUACUCCCCGUUAAAAGAGAUAGCAGCCAUGUCUAGGAGAUAUGAAAUAUCAGAAGAAAAUUGGAUCGUGCUCUUCCGAAAUCUUAAGGAAGAGGAUGUUGAGUGGAGAGCUCCUUGGUUUGUUCCUGAUGAGAUCCUCUAUCGGUGUGGGAGUUUUGAUUGGGUACCUCUACUUAGAAUUUGGGGAGCUGCUGGAUAUGCCCCUUUGCUCGUUUUAAGACAAUACAGGUCAAGCCAGCUUAUACUGAUGACACAUGGAUUAUCCCAUAGUGAGUUCGCGUAUAGGGAGAAGAAUUAUAAGAAUAAGGUUCAAGAGAUUUCUGAUGCUUGAAAACAGACGCGCCGGAUGAAGAGAUUGGUUGUUGGAUCAAUGACGACUCCUUAAUAAAAUGGGUGGUUGAGUAAAAGAGUUAACGAUAAUAUCCCCGAGCUGAGUUUAGAGGAUGUUCGUGUGAUGAAAGAAUAUUUGCAAGUAAUUCCCUCCGAGCUUGAAAUCGUAAAACGGGACUCCGAAGAAAGAAAUACAGAGUUGGGGAAAAAGAUAGAACAAUUGGAGGAAGAAAAAAUGCAUUUGAGUUUGGAUGUCGAUGUUCAGAAACUCGAGGUCGAGAAGUUGAGAAAAGGGAAAAAGAAGGUUGAGGAAGACUUAGAUAGUUUGAAGACCGAUUACAAGAAGUUGCGUAUGUCGAUGAAAACUGCUGGAUUGGGAAAGACGUCAGAGCAGUGGCGACAAGAAGUUCAAGAGGAAAAGGCUAGAGCAGAUCAGUGGGAGAAGAGGUUCCAUGAUGCUCGAGCACGUGAAAGCGCCUUAAAGAAGAGCUUGGUUGAAGGCCAAUGUGAGAAAGAGAUGUUAGUAGCUCAGGUAGCGGAGCUAGAAAAGGCCAUGCAUCAACACCGUGGUCGUAACUCUGAUAUUGAAUUAAAAGCCAGCCUGAGUAGGAUUGAAGAUUUGAAAGGGAAGGUAGAAGAGCUCAAGACUACACUACAAAACUGUGAGCUUCGAAUUGAAUUACUUAAGUCGAACAAUGAGCAGUGGAAGGAACAACUCUGUCAAUCGCAAGACCAAGUCAGGGAAAGAGAUUAUAUCAUGGGGGAGGCCGUGGCUCAGAUUCAAGAAGUGGCCGAUUAUCUACAGACCUUAGCAGUUCAGGCUGAUGUGUUAUGUUUGAAGUAUGAGUUAGAGUCAGACCGGGGUCGUGAGCUGGCUUACCUUCUUAAGAAAGUUAAAGCUUUGAGCAUUAGGGCUAGACCGUAUAUAUGAUCUAUUUUAUGAAAAGGAUUUUGCUUUCUAAUAAAGUUUUUUAAAUGGAAUUGAAACAGAAUCGACGUCUCUUUAGUUUUUCAUUCAUUUCAUGCAUUUGCAUUUCAUCGCAUCAUGUACAUUAAAUUUCAAAAAAAGAACCUUAAUUAAUUAAAACAUUGUAUUACAGUUACCCUGAAACAUCAAUACUACACACGGAAAAAGACCAAAGCUAUGGAUCAAGGUUGGAAAAAUUAGAGCAAAUGCAGAAAGAAAUGCAGGAACAGAUGCAAGCACAAAUGCAAGAGCAAUUAGCUAAGAUCCAGCAAGAAAUGAAAGAUCAAAUGCUGUAAUCUCAGAGGAGUAUGAUGAGCGAAUUGACUCAGCUACUAGUUGGAAAACCGGAAAAUGGGAAGAGUUCCAGGGUCAAUGCUGAAGAUGAUAGCGGGAUUCUUGCUUAUCCUCCGGGUUUCACCCCAACAAAUACCCCAGUGCCUCCUCAAAAGUUGUCUGUUAGUAUCAAACCCCAAUAUCAGACUGGUACUUCGGCACCGAUAAAUAUUUAGACGGGCUCGUGUUCCAACCCUAGAGACCAUCGGGCAAAUCCUACAGUCCCUGACUUCGAUGAGGUCGCGAAAGUAGGAAAGGCAGAAGCAAAAUUUCCAAAGCGACUAGAAGACUGAUAUAAAUGGUUGAAGGAAAUUCAAGGCAUUGAAAACGCUGAUUAUCAUUGCGGAAUGGAUGCUAAGAAGUUGAGCCUGGUCUCGGAUUUAGUACUCCCUCGAAAGUUCAAAAUUUCGGAGUUUGAGAAAUACAACGGAACCAGUUGCCCUGAGGCUCAUGUCACUAUGUUUUGUCGAAGGAUGACUGGUCAUGUCAAUAAUGAUCAGUUAUUGAUUCACUGUUUCUAGGACAGUUUGGCUGGGGCUGCGGCUAAGUGGUACAAUCAAUUAAAUCGUAGCCAAGUCAAAUCAUGGAAAAACUUAGCACAGGCCUUCAUGAAACAAUAUGGUCAUGUGACUGACAUAGCGCCUGAUAGGAUCAAAUUACAAAACAUGGAGAAGAAGUCAAAUGAAAGUUUCAGGCAAUAUGCUCAGAGAUGGAGGGAGAUUGCUACACAAGUCUAGCCCCCACUAUUGGAAAAGGAAACAACCAUGCUUUUCAUUAAUACCUUGAAGGCACCUUUUAUUAAUCACAUAUUGGGAAGCGCAACUAAGAGUUUUGCGGAUAUAGUUAUGUCUGGUGAAAUGAUUGAAAAUGCAAUAAGGUGCGGAAAGAUAGAGGCAGGGGAAAGCACCAGGAGGUUGGCCCCGAAAAAGAAAGAAAAUGAAGUCAGCAAUGUGAACAUGUGUUAUGCGAAACCAAUCAUGGUAAAUCAACCAAAAGUGGUAACCACGGGCCAGCAAGCUUCACCAAGGCAGGAGCCCAAUACAAAGCAGAACACGGAGAAUUCCCAGUUUACUCCCAUUCCAGUAACGUAUUGGGAGCUGUACAAAAGUUUGUUUGAUGCACACGUCGUAUCUCCUUUUUAUUUAAAACCACUGCAACCCUCAUACCCCAAGUGGUAUGAUGCAGGUGUUCAAUGUGAAUAUCAUGCUGGAAUCGCGGAACACUCGAUAGAGAACUGUACCUCUUUUAAGAGGGUAGUCGAAAGGCUCAUCAACAUGGGUAUUGUGAAAUUCGAUGAUGCACCUGGUGUAGGAAAUCUGUUACCCAAUCAUACUAAUAAAGGGGUAAAUACAAUAGUCGAGAAUAUGGGAAGGAGAAUUAAGUUGGAUAUGACAGAAGUGAGAACCCCGAUGAGGGAGGUUUUGAAGAAGAUGGUAGAGAAAUGUCUAGUCAUGCAAGACUUUGGGAGCAAAUCCCGAGAAGCAGGAAACUAUUGUGAGUUCCAUGGAGAAGUGGACCAUGAGAUAGAAACAUGUAAUAAAUUUAGAGCCCUAGUACAGGCUCUAAUAAACAACAAAGAGCUAGAGUUCUUUGAGUUUACUGAGAAGGAAGAUGUAUGCACCUCGAAGGAGGGGUUGAUAGAGAAGGUUUCUGAGGUCAAUCACCCAGUGGUGAUCAUUUCACGAUUGAAAAUUAAUAAAGUUGGAGCAAAAAUCACACCGAGAGUUGUAAUCCAUAGACCCACGACUUUUCGGUAUAAGGAUAUCAAAAGGGUGCCUUGAAAGUACAACUGUAAUGUGACAUAUCCAGAGGGGGAGAAUCUGGUCAGCACGUCAAGUAUAAAGGUCGAGCGUGGAAAAGGGAAGCCCGUGAUAAUUGAACUGUAACAGCCUAAUUUUCAGUGGUGUCGGAACAUUAAUUCGAGAUCACUAAAUCCGACAAAUGAGUAGGAAAUAUUAUUAAUUUAGUGAGCAUAAGUUAAAUGUUAAGUUAGGAAAAAUUUUGAAAUAGUGAAAUGUACAAUAUAUAUAUUAAAAUAAUUAGAAUUGAAAAUGAGGUAUCGAGACCUCGGGAAUUUUAAAUCGAGCCAUAAAUAUUUAUGGAGGGUUAAUAAGUUAGUAUUAAAGUUUCGUCAAGAAAUUUUAAAGUACUGAUAGCUAAUUGAACAAAAAGGACUAAAUUGUAUCAAAUGCAAAAUUGUGCGAAAUGAUUAAAUAGCUUAAAUGAUAAAAGAAAGAGGGAUAAAAGGCAAAUAGACCCAAGGUCUAUUUGGGCUGGACGGCAAGAGCAUGAAAUCACCAAGAAAAUAAGGGUAAAAUUGGAAAAUUACAAAAUUUACUUAAUAAAGCUAGGACUAAAGUGGAAUUAUCUAGAUUUCUCUUUAUUUUUCUUCAUUCUCAUCAGCAAAAACACAAUGGAAGAGUUCCCUUAAGCUUGUUUUUCAUAUUUUUACUGCAAGUAAGUUCAAUUCUUGAUUAUUUCUUGAAAUUUUUGUGUUUUUGUGACUUUUACAACUAGGUCCAUUUGUUGAAUUCAUUAGUUCUUGAUUCUAUUAAUGAAAUUGAAAGUUUCUAUGAAUAUGUGCUGGAAGUAUAUGAUUAUUUGAUAUAGAAUUAGAGCUUUAAAUUAUUUAUAUGCUGAUUUUAUUGAAAGAAUUGAAUAGAAAGUGAAUGUUUGGGACCUAAAUUGUAAAAGAGUUUGAAGUUAGAGUUGUAUGUGGAAAUUCUGAAUUUCAAUAGUUAUGAAAUAACUUAUAAUGUCUAGGAAAAGUAUUAAUUGAGAAAAUUAGUUUAAUUGAGGGGUUAAUUAAGUAAGGACUGAAUUGUAUGAACUGUGAAAUUUGGGGCAAAAUGAAAAUUAACAUUUUGCACUAAAAUAGUUUUGGACAGCAGCAAUAGUCUAACUUUGAAAAAUCUCCAAAAAUUUUAGAAAUCUAACUAGAGGAUGAAUAAAAUAUGAAAUUAAAGCUUAUUGAGUCUAGUUCCUUAUAGAAGAAACGGUGUAAGCAAUGGAAUUGUAAAUCAUGAGAUAUAAUAAGUUUUGUGAGACAAUGUCAGAACGAUUUCGGGUUCCCCUGUUCUGACUUUGGAAAAUCAUCAAAAAUUGGAUAAAAAUAAUUAAGGGAUUAAAUUUAUAUGUUUAAAAUCCUUAAAGAGUCUAUUUUUAAUAGAAAUAAGCAGAAACAUCAUCCGAAUCUCGUACAAUGAGAUAAUUAAUUCUUAGUGAAUAAGGGUCAGAACUGUCAGACAGCAGAACAGGGGAAACUUUACAGAAUAAACUGUACUUAUUGGAUGAACCAAAAAUUCUGAAAAUUUUAUGGUAAUAAAAUAAGUAAGUCUAGUUUCAGGAAAAAUUAGCGGAUCUUAAUUUCAAGUUCUGUAGCUUAAGAUAUAAAUAAUUUAGUAACUAUGACGCAAAUAGACAGUUUUGAAUAUACAUAAGUAAAUAGUGAAAUUAUUGAUAAUGUUACUUGUUGCAUGUUAUAUAAAUUAAGGAUGUGGAAUAGAGAGGAGGAGGAGGAAAAUAUGUAUGAAUAUUCAGCUAGCAUGGCUAAUUUGUAUGUUUUAGGCUCAUGGACUAAAUUGAAUAAAAGUAAAAUUUUAUGGGUAAUUUUGUAAAAAAAUGUUAGAAAUGACCAAUUUGCAUGAAAUGAAUUAUUUUAUUAUUUAAAUUACAAAAUUGAAUGAAAUUAUUAAUUUAGCUCAAGAUCAGGGAAAAACAUGUUUUAAGGAUUAAAUUGGAAAGUAUUGAAAUUAUGGAAAAUUCUGACAUUUUAUAGAAUUCAUAGGUUGUUAUCAAUUUGUGUGAGAACAACGGCUGGAAAUAAGGAUUAAAUUGCAAUAAUUUUAUUUUAUUUUAACCUAAGGAUGAAAUCGUCAUUAAUUAAAAGUUUAGGGGUAAAAUGAUAAUUUUGUUUAGAGCAUUAGUUGAAUGUAUUAUAACAUGAAAUAAAUGAAAACGACGAUCAAAUUUCUUUAUAAAGAUCCGGAUGACUUGAAUACGAGACUUGAACAUGGAAAAGAAAAGAUAUCGGAUUAAUGAAAUAUAUGAUAAAUGAAUCGGUAACUCCGGUAAUGCUCUGUAACUCUAUUCCGAUGAUGGAUUCGGGUUAGGGGCGUUACAUGAACAAGGGAAAGAGAGGACAAAACCACUGGUUAAUGAACCAGUAAUUGAAGAUGAAGCUAAAGAAUUUUUGAAGUUCCUAAAACACAGUGAGUAUAGUGUUGUGGAACAGUUGCACAAGCAACCGGUACGCACAUCGGUACUAGCCUUGCUCCAAAACUCAGAGGUUCACCGAAAUGCGUUGAUGAAGGUGUUGAACGAGACCUAUGUCGCUGAAGAUAUUUCAGUUAACAAGCUAGACUGCUUUGUCAGUAACAUAAGCACCGAUAAUUUCAUCUCCUUCAGUGACGAUGAAAUACCACCAAGGGGCAUGGGAUCCACCAAGGCUUUGCACAUCACCACUCACUGCAAAGGGUAUACAUUGCCGAGGGUAUUAAUUGAUAAUGGGUCAGCGCUGAAUGUUUUUCCAUUGUCCACAUUAAAUAGGUUACCAAUAGACAGUUCUCAUAUAAAGACAUGCCAGAACAUAGUGAGGGCAUUUGAUGACACUGAGAGGAAAGUGAUGGGAAGGAUUGAUGUACCUCUGCUGAUCGGACCAAACACAUACGAGGUAGAUUUCCUUGUGAUGGAUAUUACGCCUUCUUAUAAUUGCUUGUUGGGGAGGCCUUAGAUUCAUUCAGCAGGGGCAGUACCGUCAUCGUUGUACCAAAAGUUAAAGUUGGUGAUAGAGGGCCGCUUGAUAACGAUAAAUGCUGAGGAGGACAUUAUUGCAUCCGUUACUAGUAGUGCACCGUAUAUAGAAAAUGAUGAUGAAACAAUUGAGUGUUCCUAUCAGUCAUUAGAGUUUGUAAAUACAACUUUCAUCAUUUAAGGGGGCAGGGUCCCAAUGCCAAGAAUGUCUGAGACUACGAGGAUGAGCUUGCAAUUAACAGUGGGAAAGGGAGUAUUGCCUGGAAGAGGACUUGGAAAGUAUCUUCAUGGACGAGUUGAGGUACCGGUUUUGGAUGAUAAACAGGAUCGCUUUGGCUUAGGGUAUAGGCCAAAUACAAAGCAGAAAAGAAAGGAGAUGGAAAGGAGGCAGAGGAGACGAAUAGCACGACUGAAUGGGGCAGAAGUCGAGUGGGAAUCAAUGACUUUUCCCCAUAUAUCCUAUACAUUUGUGUCAGGUGGAGUUAUUUAUCCUGAAUUGAAUAUGACAAGAGAGGGAACAGCUAAAGACGCAAUGGAAAAUUUGAAUAUUAAUAUCAUAUCUGAAGUGCAAGUGAUGAAACGUGACUUAGCAAGUAUUCGCCCUUAUGAGCUUGGAAGUGUUCUAAACAACUGGACUGCGUAGGAAAUUCCUGUAGUUUUUAGUGCUAAUACAGAGUAAUGUUUCAAACACACUUGUUGUUUUAAAGCCUAUAAGCAAUAAGAAUCAUUUGCGAAAUAGGCUCAUGUUCAAAACGUUUAUUUCAAUAUAAAUACACUUUCAUGUCUUAUUCUGAGCAAAUAUUCUUUUAUCUUGAGCAAAUUUUAUUUUCUUGUAUUUUAUUUAUAAUCAUACUAUACAAAUAAAGCUAUACUUAGGUUCAUUUGAUUGUUGGAUAUUCUUUCGUGCCUACAAUAGGUCUCUAGAUAUCAAUGGCAUGAGUGAUGCUGUUACAAACUCGGAGUUCCUUUUUGAGAGAGGCGUGUGUCUGGAGGAUCUCAGGAUUUUGAAGUUGAUGAAGGCUGUAGCUUACCUUCAGAUUUGUUAAGGAUGGUAGAACAGGAGGAGAAACAGAUUCUACCCCAUAAAAAGACAAUUGAGAGUGUGACCUUGGAAGAGGGGAAAAAGGUGAACAUUGGAACUUGCAUCAUUGAGGAAACAAGACGGGAGCUCAUUGGUUUACUGCAAGAGUUCAAGGAUAUCUUCGUGUGGUCAUAUCAAGACAUGCUUAGGCUAAGCGCUGAUAUUGCGGUGCAUCGCGUCCCCACAAAAAAAGAGUGCAAGCCUGUUCAACAGAAACUUCGAAGGAUGAGACCUGAUGUUGCAGUAAAAAUAAAAGAAGAGGUCAGGAAGCAAUUUGAUGUCGGGUUCUUGCAAGUUGUUAAUUAUUCAGAAUGGGUAGCUAACGUCGUCCCUGUCCCUAAGAAAGAUGGAAGGAUGAGGAUGUGUGUAGAUUACAUGGACUUAAACAAGGCCAGCCCAAAAGACAACUUCUCCUUGCCUCACGUCGACACUUUGGUGGACAACACGGCAGGUUACUCGCUGUUUUCCUUCGUGGAUGGUUUCUCUGGGUACAAUCAGAUAAAGAUGUAUCCUGAAAACAUGGAAAAGACCACAUUUAUAACCUUAUAGGGGACUUUUUGCUAUAGGGUGAUACCAUUCGCGAUGAAGAAUGCGGGAGCAACGUAUCAAAGAGCCAUGGUAACCUUAUUUCAUGACAUGAUGCAUAAGGAAAUCGAGGUCUACGUUGACGAUAUGACCGCAAAAUCCCGAACAGAAAAGGAGCAUAUACAGGUUUUGAGGAAAUUGUUCUUGAGGUUGAUAAAGUUUCAGCUAAAGCUCAAUCCAACAAAAUGUACUUUUGGAGCUAGGUCAGGGAAGCAGCUUGGUUUUAUAGUUAGUGAAAAGGGAAUUGAGGUUGACCCCAACAAAGUCAAAGCUAUACAAAAAUUGCCUCCACUGCGCACUCAAGAAGGAAGUUCGAGGGUUUUUAGGAAGACAAAAUUACAUUGCUCGGUUCAUCUUGCAAUUGACAGAGAAAUGCAAUCCCAUAUUUCACCUUCUCAAGAAACAUAACCUAGGUGUAUAGGAUGAUGAAUGCCAGAAAACCUUCGACAGAGUUAAACAAUAUUUGACCAAUCCCCCAGUGCUAACGCCACCUAGCCCGGGUAGGCCAUUGAUAUUGUAUUUGACAGUAUUUGAUAUUUCAAUAGGAUGUGUGCUCGGCCAACAUGAUGAGACAGGAAAGAAAGAAAGAAAGAAAGGGCAAUAUAUUACCUCAGUAAGAAAUUCACUGAGUGUGAAAUGAGAUACUCGCCAAUUGAAAAGUUAGGUUGUGCCUUGGUUUUGACCACUCGGAGAUUAAGGCAGUACAUGCUAUACCACACGACUUAGUUAAUCUCAAAACUGGACCCUCUAAAGUACAUGAUAGAGUCGACUACUCUAAGUGGAAGAAUGGCCCGGUGGCAAAUCCUGCUUUCUGAAUUCGACAUAGUUUAUGUGAACUAGAAGGCUGUGAAAGGGAGUGCAAUAGCAGAUUUUCUAGCCAGCAGAGCUUUAGAAGAUUAUGAGCCUUCGAACUUUGAUUUCCCUAAUGAAGAUCUAAUGUAUGUGGCAACUACCGAAGAGGACACUUCAGAAGAUCAUCCGUGGAAACUGAAUUUUGACGGAGCAUCAAACGUUGUUGGCAAUAGAAUUGGGGCAGUCCUGAUAUCCCCACAUGGAGAUCAUUAUCCAUUCACUUGCAAAUUAGAUUUUUAUUGCAUAAAUAAUAUGGCAGAGUAUGAGGAUGUAUCAUGGGAAUCCAUACAGCAAUCGAACGUAAAAUCAAUGUGUUAGAGGUGUAUGAAAAUUCUGCACUGGUGAUCUAUCAGCUUAAAGGUGAAUGGGAAACAAGAGACCCAAAGUUGAUUAACUAUCGAGAGCUAGUUUGGGAUUUGAUUAAAGUGUUUGAUGAUAUCACUUUCUUUUAUCUCCCGCGAUACAAAAACCAGAUGACAGAUGUUCUGGCUACGUUAGCUUCUAUGAUCAGAGUAAAUGGACUAGAGAAUAUGAACCCGAUCCAGAUGAGUAUUUAUGAGGCUCCAGCUCAUUGUUGUAGUAUAGACGACGAAGAGGAGAGAGAUGUUUAUCAUUGGUAUCAUGAUAUUUUACGAUAUGUGAAGAGCCGUGAAUAUCCUGAUCAGGCAACUGAAAAUGAUAAGAGGACGUUGAGAAGGCUAAACAAUGACUAUGUCUUAGAUGAAGAAAUCCUGUACAAAAUGAGGAAAGAUCAUGUGCUGUUAAAAUGUGUUGAUGCUGUUAAAGCUAAGAAAAUCCUGGAAGAAGUCCAAGAAGGUGUCUGCGGGACGCAUGCCAAUGGGUUCACAAUGGCCAGGCAAAUUAUGAGAUUCGAGUACUACUGGUCCACAAUGGAAGGAGAUUGCAUCAGCUAUGCCAAGAAAUGUCAUAGGUACCAAAUUUAUGGUGACAAGAUCUACGUACCUCCUUCACCCCUUCACGUCAUGACUUCUCCGUGGCCUUUCUCAAUGUGGGGCAUGGACGUCAUUGGGUCGAUUUCACCAAAAGCUUCUACUGGACAUCGAUUCAUCUUUGUGGUCAUGAUUACUUCACCAAGUGGGUAGAGGCUAUUUCAUAUGCCAAAGUCACAAAGUCAGCAGUCAGCAAGUUCUUAAAAAAAGAAAUCAUAUGUCGAUAUAGCAUGCCAGAAAGGAUCAUAUCUGACAAUGCAUUGAAUUUGAAUAACUGUGUGAUAGUAGAGGUCUGUAAGUAAUUCAAGAUUAAACACCACAACUCGUCACCUUAUCGCCCCAAAAUGAAUAGUGCGGUUGAGGCAACCAAUAAGAAUAUCAAGAAGAUCGUGGGGAAAAUGACUGUGACCUAUUAGGAUUGGCAUGAAAAGCUGUCAUUUACUCUUUAUGCCUAUCGAACAUCUGUCAGAACUUCUAUCGGGGCAACACCUUACUCAUUGGUUUAUGGGAUGGAGGCAGUUUUGCCCAUUGAAGUCGAAAUUCCUUCUCUCUAGGUUUUAUCAGAGUUGAAGCUAGACGGAGCAGAAUGGAUUCAGUCCCGAUAUGAUCAGCUGAACUUAAUUAAAGAAAAGUGACUGAAGGCUAUCCGUCAUGGUCAAAUGUACCAGAGGCGAAUAAUGCGAGCUUACAAUAAAAAGGUUCGCCCCAGAGUAUUCCAUGAGGAGGACUUGGUAUUGAAACAAAUUAUUCCUAUACAAAAAGAUUUCAGAGGGAAAUGGAUGCCAAACUGGUAAGGACCUUACGUGGAAAAGAAGGCUUUUCUGGAAAAGCGUUGAUAUUAACUGAGAUGGAUAGUAGGAGCCUGCCUAGCCCAGUAAAUUCGGAUUCAGUCAAAAAGUACUUCGAUUAAGAGGUGAAAACCUACAAAUGGCGCCUAAAAAAAAUAGAGAGGCCGAGGUAAAUAUUUGCUUCUCUUGAUUAAUCUAUUCUCUUGAAUCUUGUUCCUAAUAAACUUCAGUUUUGUCCAUCUUUAUCUUUGUGCUCACGUACUUGUAUUGAAAUAACUACUAAUGAACUAAUAAUACUUUUACAAAAGAGGUUUUUGUAUAUUACUCUGGGAGUUUCUAAAUGGAACAUGAAUCUGAAGCAGGACUUUUAGUUAGAACUUACCCAACUUAGAGGUGGGAUAUUUGUGUUCAAUUUGGGAUUAUCUCUUUAGAUUUUUAGUCAAAUAUAUUGAUUGAAUAAGAAAACAGGAUAUCGUGUCAACCAAAGCAUUAAGAGGGGAUCAUGAUAUUCCUCAUUAAUGUAAUGUCGGGCGUACACAUCUGGUCAUGGGGCUCGGGGAGUGGUGUAAUAGACCGAAUUAAUGGAAGAGGGGGUUUUGAAUAUGGUACAAACCUUAGGUUCUAGAAGUAUAGCGAAACAUACUUUGAAGUUGCAAUAGGGCAAACCAGUUGAGCAAAAUGAGUUGUUUCUACAGGUUUUAUUGAGAAAUGCUAGUCGAGCAGGAAGACAGCAUAAUACGAUGAUGAUAAAGCUCUGAUGAAUAACGAGUGAUGGCACUUAAAGUUUUAAAAAAAAAGAAAAAGAAAAAAGAAAUCAUUUUUAUUUCUACAUUCAUAUCAUUCAUAACACAUUUGGUUAGGAGCAUCUGAUUCAUUUCAAUCUUAGCAUUCUAAUUAUUUGGCAUAAACAUAAACAUAAAAUUGAGUCUGCAGGGCAUGUUCCCUAGAGGACAAUGUAGCGACAUCGGUGAAAAUUACAGAUCUUAUCUCCAUGUAUCGGCUAUGGAGUAGAUCGGAAAUGGCGAGUCUUAUCUCCAUGUAUCGACUAUGGAGCAGAUUUUAGCCACCAAGCCUUAUCUCUCUGAAGUUGCAGAGAGUAGGUUGAAGAUACAAGUCUUAUCUUCCUGAAGUUGCAGGAAGCAGACUGAAAAUUACAGAUCUUAUCUCCAUGUAUCGGUUAUGGAACAGAUUGAAAAUGGCGAGUCUUAUCUCCAUGUAUCGGCUAUGGAGCAGAUUUUAGCCACCAGCCUUAUCUCUCUAAAGUUGUAGAGAGCAGGUUGAAGAUACAAGUCUUAUCUUCCUGAAGUUGCAGGAAGCAGACUGAAAAUUACAGAUCUUAUCUCUAUGUAUUGGCUAUGGAGCAGAUAAAAAUGACGAGUCUUAUCUCCAUAUAUCGGCUAUGGAGCAGAUUUUAGCCACAGACCUUAUCUCCCUGAAGUUGCAGUGGAACAGGUUGAAGUCAAACAUUAUCUUCUUGAAGUUACUGUAAGACUACUUGAAGAAGGAGUACCAAGGAGGUCGAAGAUUUGGCAGGACCGGGCAAAAUUGGUUCUUUUAGGGUCUUUGCUCCGUUCUCGUUACACAAUAACUCGCAAAGAGGGGCAGCUGUAGACCCAAUUUUUAGCCAUGGCCCAUAUAUAUUCAAAGAUAAAACAUAAAACGGCCCAAAAUACAAGUCAAGUUACAAAUGGCCCAACACUAAUAGGCCCAAUUUUGGAAAACCUAGGGUUUUCAUAUGUUUCGUGCCGCAGCAGUGGCCACCAGCAGCCUCCACGAACUAUGCAUGAUCACCGACUCGCGCAUGGCUCGCCCCACGUCCGUGCGCUCCGCUCCCAUGUCUCCAUGACCUACAAUAUGAGAAAAAAUAGCUAGAAAUCGCUUGUAUUUUGGACUAUAAAGCUUCUGAAUUUUGAUUGUAAAAGGAUGGUUUUUUUCCUCUCGGAGAAAGAGAAUACGAAUUGUAUACAAAAUAUACACAAAAAUCAGUAGAAAGUAACCAAAGAGUAUUUUCAAAGGUAAUUAUUUAAUGCCGUUUUUUUUUGUUUCUUCUUUUUCCAUUUUUUUCAUUUCCAUUCGGAUCCAUAUACGAAAAUAUAAAAAGAAAGGGGAGGGGAACUCACCAUCACGACGCAAGAGGAACUUCUGAAGUCGAAGUUUGGCUCAAAAUGGUGGUGGAACCGUUUCUCUUUGGUCUGUUGAAGAAGAGAAAAAAGAGGGGAAAGUGAAGGAGAAGAGUCUCAAAACUUAGGGGUUUUUUUAAG